Molecule: ribosomal RNA, 1715 nt
Filed under: alkali sediment metagenome
Description: bacterial LSU rRNA
Rfam family: Bacterial large subunit ribosomal RNA
Source: RNAcentral
UGAUAGUCCUGUAGGUUAAAGGGUGAGGCUCCUAGUCAUGUUCUUAAGUACCACGGGACACGAGGAAUCCUGUGGGAAGCUGGGGUGACCACACUCCAAGGCUAAAUACUCUUGGCGACCGAUAGUGAACAAGUACCGUGAGGGAAAGGUGAAAAGAACCCCGGGAGGGGAGUGAAAAGAUCUGAAACCGUGUGCCUACAAGCAGUCAAAGUCCGUCUUCGGGCGGAUGAUGGCGUGCCUAUUGAAGAAUGAGCCGACGAGUUAAUCUAUGUAGCUAGGUUAAGUCGCUCAGCGACGGAGCCGAAGCGAAAGCGAGUCCGAAUAAGGCGUUGUUCUUCUUCGGAAGGACAGGUUGCAUGGAUUAGACGCGAAGCCGGGUGAGCUACCCAUGGCCAGGGUGAAGGUCGCCUAAUAGCGACUGGAGGUCCGAACCUAUUAGUGAGGCAAAACUACAGGAUGAGUUGUGGGUAGGGGUGAAAUGCCAACCGAACUCGGAGAUAGCUCGUUCUCCCCGAAAUGUAUUGAGGUACAGCCUCGGGUGUUGAGUUGCGCAGGUAGGGCACUGGAUGGGCUAGGGGGCAAGUAAGCUUACCAAACUCAACCAAACCGCGAAUGGCGUAACUAGAAAGCCCGGGAGUGAGACGGUGGGGGCUAAGCUUCAUCGUCAAGAGGGAAACAGCCCAGACCAUCAGCUAAGGUCCCCAAGUGUAGGCUAAGUGGUAAAGGAGGUAGAAGCGCUCAGACAGCCAGGAUGUUGGCUUAGAGGCAGCCACCAUUUAAAGAGUGCGUAACAGCUCACUGGUCGAGUGAAUCUGCGCCGACAAUCCAGCGGGGCUCAAGCCUACCACCGAAGCUAUGGGUCCGAGGGAAGUGAGAAUGUCGGCAUGAGUAGCGUAAGGCGUGUGUGAAACACGCCCACCGGAUGCCUGAGGUUUCCUACGGAAGGUUAAUCCGCGUAGGGUUAGUCGGGCCUAAGCCGAGGGCGAAAGCCGUAGGCGAUGGACAACUGGUCAACAUUCCAGUACCGCUUAUUUUUUGUAACCUAAGGGGGGACACAGGAAGGUAGGUCAAGCGCACCCAUUGGACAUGGUGCGUCUCCGAUUGUAGGGGAAAGCUGAGGGGCAACCCGAGGCGAUUUGGCUGAGCCUACGCUGUCAAGAAAAUCCUCGUAGCUGAAGAAUGAGCGCCCGUACCGCAAACCGACUCUGGUAGGCGGGGAUGAGAGUCCCAAGGUGGUCGAGAGAACCCUCGUUAAGGAACUCGGCAAUCUAGCUCCGUAACUUCGGGAUAAGGAGCGCCUCGGGGUGUGAGAGGACUCGUUUUUUGAGCACCCUGGGGCCGCAGUGAACGGGCCCAAGCGACUGUUUAACAAAAACACAGGUCUCUGCUAAGGCGUAAGCCUACGUAUAGGGGCCGACACCUGCCCAGCGCCGGAAGGUUAAGGAGAUUUGUCAUGGCUCUUCGGAGCCGGCAGCAGAGAACCGAAGCCCCGGUAAGCGGCGGCCGUAACUAUAACGGUCCUAAGGUAGCGAAGUCCCUUGUCGGGUAAGUUCCGACCCGCACGAAUGGUGUAACGACUUGGGCGCUGUCUCAACGAGGAACUCGGCGAAAUUGAAAUACCCGUGAAGAUGCGGGUUACCCGCGACUGGACAAAAAGACCCCGUGGAGCUUUACUAUACCCUGGCAUUGAAUUGCGGCUUAGCAUGUGUAGAAUA